This 89-nucleotide transfer RNA is filed under the name Humisphaera borealis. Its description in RNAcentral is "tRNA-Ser". It matches the Rfam family "tRNA". From Rfam's summary of the family: Transfer RNA (tRNA) molecules are approximately 80 nucleotides in length. Their secondary structure includes four short double-helical elements and three loops (D, anti-codon, and T loops). Lineage: Bacteria; Pseudomonadati; Planctomycetota; Phycisphaerae; Tepidisphaerales; Tepidisphaeraceae. The record is from RNAcentral.
GGAGAGAUGGCCGAGCGGCUGAAGGCGCAGCACUGGAAAUGCUGUUGGCGGCUUAAACCGUCACGCGAGUUCGAAUCUCGCUCUCUCCG